This 38-nucleotide non-coding RNA is filed under the name Trichobilharzia regenti. Lineage: Eukaryota; Metazoa; Platyhelminthes; Trematoda; Strigeidida; Schistosomatidae. The record is from RNAcentral.
AUCCAACUGACGAGUCCCAAAUAGGACGAAAUGCGCAU